AACGAACGCUGGCGGCAUGCCUAACACAUGCAAGUCGAACGAUGCUUUCGGGCAUAGUGGCGCACGGGUGCGUAACGCGUGGGAAUCUGCCCUUGGGGUCGGAAUAACAGUUGGAAACGACUGCUAAUACCGGAUGAAGACGAAAGUCCAAAGCUUUAUCGCCUGAGGAUGAGCCCGCCUAAGAUUAGGUAGUUGGUGGGGUAAAGGCCUACCAAGCCGACGAUCUUUGGCUGGUCUGAGAGGAUACGCAGCUACACUGGACCGGCGACAAGGCCCAAACUCUUACGGGAGCCAGAAGUGGGGAAUGUUGGACGAUGGGCGAGAGCCUGUACCCGCACUGCCGCGUGAGGGAUGCAGACCUUAGGGUUGUACAGCUCUUUUACCCGGCAUGUUAAUGACAGUACCGGGAGCAUAAGCCCCGGCUAUCACCGUGCCUGCCGCCGUAGUAA
RNAcentral lists this ribosomal RNA (449 nucleotides) under uncultured bacterium. Its description in RNAcentral is "partial 16S ribosomal RNA". It matches the Rfam family "Bacterial small subunit ribosomal RNA", at positions 29 to 523 of the family's 1533-position model. The record is from RNAcentral.